AGUUUGAUCCUUGGCCCAGGAUGAACGCUAGCUACAGGCUUAACACAUGCAAGUCGAGGGGAAACGAUAGAGAAAGCUUGCUUUUUCUAGGCGUCGACCGGCGCACGGGUGAGUGACGCGUAUCCAACCUGCCCACCACUUGGGGAUAACCUUGCGAAAGUAAGACUAAUACCCAAUGAUAUCUCAAGAAGACAUCUGAAUGAGAUUAAAGAUUUAUCGGUGAUGGAUGGGGAUGCGUCUGAUUAGCUUGUUGGCGGGGUAACGGCCCACCAAGGCGACGAUCAGUAGGGGUUCUGAGAGGAAGGUCCCCCACAUUGGAACUGAGACACGGUCCAAACUCCUACGGGAGGCAGCAGUGAGGAAUAUUGGUCAAUGGGCGAGAGCCUGAACCAGCCAAGUAGCGUGCAGGAUGACGGCCCUAUGGGUUGUAAACUGCUUUUAUAAGGGGAUAAAGUGAGUCUCGUGAGACUUUUUGCAUGUACCUUAUGAAUAAGGACCGGCUAAUUCCGUGCCAGCAGCCGCGGUAAUACGGAAGGUCCGGGCGUUAUCCGGAUUUAUUGGGUUUAAAGGGAGCGUAGGCCGGAGAUUAAGCGUGUUGUGAAAUGUAGAUGCUCAACAUCUGCACUGCAGCGCGAACUGGUUUCCUUGAGUACGCACAAAGUGGGCGGAAUUCGUGGUGUAGCGGUGAAAUGCUUAGAUAUCACGAAGAACUCCGAUUGCGAAGGCAGCUCACUGGAGCGCAACUGACGCUGAAGCUCGAAAGUGCGGGUAUCGAACAGGAUUAGAUACCCUUGGUAGUCCGCACGGUAAACGAUGGAUGCCCGCUGYUGGUCUGAAUAGGUCAGCGGCCAAGCGAAAGCAUUAAGCAUCCCACCUGGGGAGAACGCCGGCAACGGUGAAACUCAAAUGAAUUGACGGAAGGGCUUUAAG
Molecule: ribosomal RNA, 930 nt
Filed under: uncultured bacterium
Lineage: Bacteria
Description: bacterial SSU rRNA
Rfam family: Bacterial small subunit ribosomal RNA
Source: RNAcentral